RNAcentral lists this long non-coding RNA (479 nucleotides) under Amborella trichopoda. RNAcentral describes it as "long non-coding RNA (ATRI_LNC005135)". The record is from RNAcentral. Lineage: Eukaryota; Viridiplantae; Streptophyta; Magnoliopsida; Amborellales; Amborellaceae.
GAGAGAGAGAGAAUUAUACACCAACAGAUAGAUAGAGAGAGAGAUAGAAAUCGACAUGCCAACAGAAAAACUUUUUCUUUUUUUUCUUGAGAGAGAGAGAAAGAUUUAUACAUACCGUCGGGGAGUGGGAAGAAGGUAUCUCUGUGAAAUUGAUGCACCAGGGGACAGAAAAAUAACCAACAAGACCAGUGGAAAAACUAUGAGAACAGCACUGAACACUGGCUUGGAGUAGAAGAAGGUCAUGGCCUUAUGAAACCUCUUCGCUUCCAUUGCUCUAGCACUUAGUAGAGGCAGCCAUUCCAAGUUUUAGUGCGAGAAACCCUAGAAUUUGGUCCCUACUAACAAAUAUUUUCGAUCACUACGGCAAGAGAGAGCGAAAUGGAUCUCCAGGGGUAAGGAUAGCACGUUGCCACAUUUAAAGUAGCGGAUCAAUCUGAAAAAGUUUCUGGAUCAGUUUCUGGAGAAGGAUUUGAGAAAUU